UCGAAGGUAGCAUAAUCAGUAGUUUUUUAAUUGAAAACUAGUAUGAAUGGUUUAACGAAAUAUUAGCUGUUUCAUAAAAAUUUAUAUAGAAGUUAAUUUUUUAGUAAAAAAGCUAAAAUAUUUUUAAAAGACGAGAAGACCCUAUAGAGUUUUAUAUAAUAAAUAUUAUAAUUUACUUAUAAUAUUUUAUAUUUUAUUGUUUAUUAUAUUUUAUUGGGGUGAUAGUAAAAUUUAAUUAUCUUUUAUUUUUUUUUAACAAAUAUUAAUGAAUAAAUGAUCCAUUAAUAAUGAUUAAAAGAUUAAAUUACCUUAGGGAUAACAGCGUAAUUUUUUUGGAGAGUUCUAAUCGAUAAAAAAUUUUGCGACCUCGAUGUUGGAUUAA
This 382-nucleotide ribosomal RNA is filed under the name Dziedzickia bifida. RNAcentral describes it as "partial 16S ribosomal RNA". The record is from RNAcentral. Lineage: Eukaryota; Metazoa; Arthropoda; Insecta; Diptera; Mycetophilidae.